GGAUGGCAUCAUUUGAUAGUUAAAACUGAGGUGGUAUAGGAUGGGCAUGCGUCUGAUUAGUUAGUUGGCGGGGUAAUGGCCCACCAAGACGAUGAUCAGUAGGGGUUCUGAGAGGAAGAUCCCCCACACUGGCACUGAGAUACGGGCCAGACUCCUACGGGAGGCAGCAGUAGGGAAUAUUGGUCAAUGGAUGCAAGUCUGAACCAGCCAUGCCGCGUGCAGGAAGAAGGCCUUCUGGGUUGUAAACUGCUUUUGCCAGGGGAUAAAAUUUCCAUGCGUGGAAAACUGAAGGUACCUGGUGAAUAAGCCACGGCUAACUACGUG
This 324-nucleotide ribosomal RNA is filed under the name uncultured bacterium. Its description in RNAcentral is "bacterial SSU rRNA". It matches the Rfam family "Bacterial small subunit ribosomal RNA", at positions 183 to 507 of the family's 1533-position model. The record is from RNAcentral.